Molecule: long non-coding RNA, 984 nt
Organism: Brassica oleracea var. oleracea
Lineage: Eukaryota; Viridiplantae; Streptophyta; Magnoliopsida; Brassicales; Brassicaceae
Exons: 4
Source: RefSeq, a predicted model, not a curated record
UCUCCCACUCAGUGUAAACAUAAACCGUAUUAAGAAAAAAGAGUUACGAUACUCUCUUUUUCUUCUUCUCCUCCGCCACAGAACAACGAAAUUGACAAGAGGAGGAUGUCCGGAAGUUGUGAACGGCUCAGUUGGGUCGGAUCGAGGAAGAAACCCGACAACUCUCCACCAUCCGCGAGAGGCGAACCCACGGCGGAGCUUCUCUUCGUCGGUAGCGGAGAGGGAGAAGACAGAGGAAGAGGACGACGCGGUGAAGAUAUAUGAGCAACGGUGGUUUGUUCGUGCAAGACGCUUGCGAAUCAUCUCACCAACUGUGGUUUUCAGUCUACUCCUCGAGAUGAGAGGAUGCAGCAGUCUCUAUUUGUUCUCAAUAAUCAUCAGAGUAGGGAUUCGAGCAGCUGAUUCAGGGGAUGAUUAAACCGUAUAAAGUUGCGGCCUUUACUAUUAUUUUUUUGUAUUGUUGUUGCAUUUGUUUCGGGGGUUGAUGUAAUAGUAUAAAGUUGGGUUCCUUAUGAUUUAUGGUAUUGGUGUAUUUGUUUCAGGAGAUCGUGUAAUCAAGGCGUUUAUGAUUCAACGUGGGGAUAAUUCGGCGAAUGAUGGGACUGGUGGUGGUGAAUCUAUCUAUGGCUGGGACAAGAGAGAGCUUUCCUGAUUCUUGAUGAUACAGAGAAUGCAGCUACGCUAAGAUAUCUCAGACUUAGACUGAUGCUUUCAGUAACACACAACGAUAAGUAUUAAGGAAGAUGCACAUGAUGAUAAGAAGCAAAGGGAGCUGAUUCAUCUUUGGAACCUGAUGGACACUCCUGAUGAAGAAAGGGAGCUGUUUUGAUCACUUUACUUGUAAUCAUAUCAAAUAUAUAUAUGUUAACUUCGGUCAAUUUAAUUUUAUUACCAAACUACAGUUGUUGUUGUUGUGUUGCUGUAUUUGUAAAACUACAAUGCAAAAUGCCAUAACUUUUAUGAAAAUGACUAUUGUAUCUAUAA